This 885-nucleotide ribosomal RNA is filed under the name Psychrobacter sp. K2-4L-011. Its description in RNAcentral is "bacterial SSU rRNA". It matches the Rfam family "Bacterial small subunit ribosomal RNA", at positions 49 to 925 of the family's 1533-position model. The record is from RNAcentral. Lineage: Bacteria; Pseudomonadati; Pseudomonadota; Gammaproteobacteria; Moraxellales; Moraxellaceae.
UAACACAUGCAAGUCGAGCGGAAACGAUGAUAGCUUGCUAUCAGGCGUCGAGCGGCGGACGGGUGAGUAAUACUUAGGAAUCUACCUAGUAGUGGGGGAUAGCUCGGGGAAACUCGAAUUAAUACCGCAUACGUCCUACGGGAGAAAGCAGGGGAUCUUUGGACCUUGCGCUAUUAGAUGAGCCUAAGUCGGAUUAGCUAGAUGGUGGGGUAAAGGCCUACCAUGGCGACGAUCUGUAGCUGGUCUGAGAGGAUGAUCAGCCACACCGGGACUGAGACACGGCCCGGACUCCUACGGGAGGCAGCAGUGGGGAAUAUUGGACAAUGGGGGGAACCCUGAUCCAGCCAUGCCGCGUGUGUGAAGAAGGCCUUUUGGUUGUAAAGCACUUUAAGCAGUGAAGAAGACUCUUCGGUUAAUACCCGGGGACGAUGACAUUAGCUGCAGAAUAAGCACCGGCUAACUCUGUGCCAGCAGCCGCGGUAAUACAGAGGGUGCAAGCGUUAAUCGGAAUUACUGGGCGUAAAGCGAGCGUAGGUGGCUUGAUAAGUCAGAUGUGAAAUCCCCGGGCUUAACCUGGGAACUGCAUCUGAAACUGUUAGGCUAGAGUAGGUGAGAGGGAAGUAGAAUUUCAGGUGUAGCGGUGAAAUGCGUAGAGAUCUGAAGGAAUACCGAUGGCGAAGGCAGCUUCCUGGCAUCAUACUGACACUGAGGCUCGAAAGCGUGGGUAGCAAACAGGAUUAGAUACCCUGGUAGUCCACGCCGUAAACGAUGUCUACUAGUCGUUGGGUCCCUUGAGGACUUAGUGACGCAGCUAACGCAAUAAGUAGACCGCCUGGGGAGUACGGCCGCAAGGUUAAAACUCAAAUGAAUUGACGGGGGCCCGCA